UUCACCCCCUCUUGAUUAGUUGAAUGUAUCAGUGUGUUUUUUUUUUUUUGGCAUAAGAUAUGCAAAAGAUCUGAGAAAAAUGCUACUUAGUCCCCAAAAUAAAACUAUCCCCUAUACCAAUUGACCCGUGUAAAUGCAUUAUCAAUCGGUUUACCAAAAAUUAUUCUAUCAACCAAAAAAGUCCUGUAAUUUGGUAUGCAGGUGAACAAAAAAGCACUAAACUGACUUGGUAAAAAUUGGAGUGAAGAAACCAAGUACAAACUUUUCACGUUGGGAAACCAAGGUCAUGCCAACAGUGAAGGACUGGGAGAGUUGAAUAGUAUCUGCUGCUAUGGAAUAUUUGGGAGAAGGACUCUAUUAUUGUGAUAUAUAAAGUAUCCAUUGAUAUAGCUAUAAAUUUUAAGACUGCUUAAAGCAGAAGCAACGAAGAAACACUGAAGGUUUUUGUCAAUUUUUUGUGUUUGGUUUGAAUAUUAGAAAGAUAUGAUCCUCAAGGAUUGACCAGAGUCAAAUUGUAACAAAAAUACAAAAUUUCAUUUCAUUUUUUUAUUUGGUUUAUGCAUACUUGGGUUAAAA
This is a long non-coding RNA of Trifolium pratense (red clover), 576 nucleotides long. RefSeq lists it as uncharacterized. The record is from RefSeq and is a predicted model, not a curated record. The transcript has 4 exons. NCBI's taxonomy places the organism in Eukaryota, Viridiplantae, Streptophyta, Magnoliopsida, Fabales, Fabaceae.